UGCUGCCCUGGUGUUUAUGUAGCCAGGAAAAAAAAAUAUGCGUCUCAUUCACACGAUUAAAAAGCUUAUUUAGUUAAAUCCAAGUUUAUGCCAUAUUACUGGAGUGAAAAAAAGUUUUGAUGAAGGCACUUUUUUGUUUUGUCUUAGUGGUUUUAUACUAUUUAGAAAAAAAAAAACACAGACAAAUGGCAAUCCAUUAAUUCUCCUGAGUUAUGUUUCCCAUGGAACUGACAGCUUUGAGCGUCACAGUUGUAAGGUAAAUGUUAGUAAUAUAGUUUGCUCUUAAGACACUGAAAUCGUUACUGAUAAUCACUUUCUACUUUGUGCUAUACAUUGCAAAGGUUGUACUUGAUGUGAUGAAGUGUUUUUCCAUUUUAUAUUGUGCACAGUAGACAGCUAUAUACUUCCACCAACUAAAGCAUUUGUCAUGUGAGACGAUUUCUUUCUUUUUUUUAUUCUUUUCAAAUAAUUUUUAUUAACGUUUUAAAAUUUUGUAUAGCAAGUGAUAAUAAUACUAACAUUGUUUUACUUUUUUUUAUUCUUUCAGCUUGGUGACUGCUACAGAAACCUUAUAAAGACUGGGAUAGUCAGUUAACCUCUUCGGGAUAAAGGCAAAUCUUAUGAAAUGAAGACUAUGCUGUCAUGACUUAUUUCAUGAAGGUGUUACUCUGGUAAAAUACGUUUUAAAUUCUCAGUCUAUUAAUUAUGUUAGCUAGUAUUUGACCAACAACAUAUUUUUCUUUAUCAAUAAUCCAGACAUUCUAAAAAGGAACCCUUGUGAAUAGUGGUAGAACUACCAAGGUCGCCACAGUCACUACUCUGACUGAGCACUGGGGUUCUGCUUGUGAAGAAGCUCAUCAGUGGGUGCAACGUGGGAGUCUCUUCAUUGAGUCUUGCACUAGGUCUUGUGGUUUCUAGUUACGCUUCUGCAUGUGAUUGUCUGAUGCCAUUUUCUUUUUGAGCUCAUGUGUGUUGUGAGCAAUAGAACAAACUUCUCUGUUCUACCUUUAUGGUGAGGAAGUCAUUGAAUAUUCUCAGUCUUGAAUUAAGCCAGUAGUUCUUAACCACUGAGUACAAACGAAAAUUUGGAUUUAAGUCCCCAAGCUAUUGCAGUGGAUUUCCAAUGACUGCAACCGAUACAUGAUGUACAUCAAGCAUGUCAAACUCACGGCCCACGGGCCGCAUGCGGCCCACAAUGAAUAUCUUUGCGGCCCAGCGAGCCGCAAGUUUGACAUGGUAAGGCAGAGUAGGCACCUGCUCCCCCCACAUCUGCUAAAAUUUACCUGGCCAGGAGGAAAGGUCGCUUGUGGCAGCGAGGGAGCUCAGUCUGUUCAUCCUGCUCCUCACUGCUCUCUGUAGUGAUAACGGGUGCCAGAAUAUGAUGUCAUUCCAGCCCGGCAUCACUAAACUGCACGCUUGAGGGAGCAGUAGGGAGAUCCCAGGGAGAGGCCCCACACCAGCUCCCAAAGGUAGGGAUCAAUAAAUAAAAUGAUUUGUGAAUGUUUGUCUGUCAGUGUUGUUGUCUGUCUGUGUGUGUCUGUCAGUGUCUGUGUGUCUCUGUCAGUAUGUUUGUGUGUGUGUGUGUCAGUGAGUGUGUGUCUGUCAUUGUGUGUGUCAGUGAGUGUGUGUCUGUCAGUGAGUGAGUAUGUUUGUCUGUCAGUCAGUGUGUGUGUGUGUCAGUGAGUGUGUGUUGGUCAGUGUUGCGAUGGCCGCGGCUGGACAGUGGAGGACCUGGAGGUGCACAGAGACAAGCAAAGCCACGUCACAUUCAAACGUGACAUCAACGUGCUCCACCUUCACAGGGUUUCAAGGAUCCGCUUUGGCACAGAGUGCGGACGGAACCCUCGGAGGUAUACCAGAGGCUGGACUCUGGAGUCGCCUACUGGCAGCGGCAAUGUGAGUGGAGUCUGCUUGUUGGAUAAUAUUGUUAGAUUUUUUUAAAACAGGGGCCGAGGUUUAGUAGAGGGGGGUGCUGGGAUUUAGUAUAGAGGGGGGACUAAGAGCUGUGGUGUUACGCAUAAACUCAUCACUGGUAAUAUGGACAACUUUCUUCAUAAGAAACUUGUGAAACUCUGUCAGUCUUGUUAUACCACUCCUGGACACCCCAGCUACUUGGUGAUCAGCAGGUAGAGUUGUGUCUCACAAAGUUCACCGGCUAUAAAUUUAAAAGGACAUGCUACAUUCCCAAACUACACAUUUCACUGCUCUGUAUACUGAGUAGGCUUCUGCAAAGAUUAGCUUCUUCAUAUGUACGUAUUAGAGAGCUAUGAAUAAAGAUGAUUGAUUUAUUGAAUUUAAAGCACCGUAUUCCUGUUAACCACAGCUUGUUCGAGUAUAAACUGGGUAUUUUAGGCUGGCUCAUUUGAGUCUUUAAUAACAGUUGUUAAUUCCUUUGGUGGAAUAUUUUUACCCCAUAUUCAGUUUCUUCUGUACCAUGUCCUGGGAAUAAUGACAUAAGAAUAAUAACAUCUUCAUUACUCGUUGUGCUCCAAGAAGCAGUGUCAGGGUGUGCAUCUGUGUGUGUAUAUAUGUCAGUGUGCUUCUGUGUGAGUGUGUGUGUGUACACACAUCUGUGUGUAUGUGAAUUUGUGUGUGUGUCGGUGUAUUUCUAUGUAUAUCUGUGUAAGUAUGUAUGUAUGUGGUAGUGUAUGUGCAUACAUUCAAGCAGGGCCGGACUGGAGAUGCAAAGCAGCCCUGGAAAAAAAAUAUAUGCCAGCCCCAUAAGUCAAUGCGCCAUAUAUUGUCGCAUGUAAUUUGUAAGACUAUGUCUUGCCACCCCAGAUGAUUGAGUAAUAUAUAUAUAUAUUGCUUUUUCUAAUAUAAAACAUUUGUCCUUUCAUAGUAAAAUGUUUAAUUAUACAGUAAUCAUACUCACAUGCAGACACAGACAAUCUCACUGACACACACAAGCUCAUUGAUACACAGCCUCAUAGACAAUCUCACUGAUAAACAUAAGCUCACUGACAUAAAAACACAAGCUCACUCACUAGCAGACACACACACACAUACAUGCAAGCAAGCAAGCUAACUAGCAUGCGCACACACACACAGCUUAAUGUAGUCGUUCUGGUGUCUAUAGCCUGUCCCUGCAGGCUUUUCAAUGUAAACACUGACUUUUCAGAGAAAAGGCAGUGUUUACAGUGUUUACAUUGCUUCCAAGUGACACCUCUAGUGACAGUCACUCAGACAGUCACUAGAGGUGCUUCCUACAUUCAGGGCCUCCACGCUCUGGAGCUGCUGAAGGUUCCCCAUAGAGAUACAUUGAUUUAAUGCAUCUCUAUGAGGAGAUGCUGAUUGGUGUAGCGUUUUGCAGCCAAUCCUAUGGGAAGCUUGAUGAUCUCAACCAUAGAGGCAGGGCCAGUCGAGGGGAGACCAGCAUGGCGUGGAAAAAAGAAAAGAACAGGUGAGUAAAAACACUAUUUUUAAAACACACACACACACCAUGGCAGACACACACAUACACACUCCAUGACAGACACACACACACCAUGACAGACAGACCAUGACACAGACAAACACACACACCAUGAUACAGACACAAACGUGUCACAGACACAAACACACACAUCAUGACAGACACACACCAUGACACAGACACAAACACACACAUCAUGACAGACACACACCAUGACACAGACAUACACACACCAUGACACAGACAGUCCAUGACACAGACACACACACCAUAACAGACAGAAACACACACACACACACACACACCAUGACAGACAUACACACACACAUCAUGACAGAAAGACACACACACACCAUGACAGACACACACACCAUGACAGACAGACACACACACACACCUUGACAGACAGAGACACACACACCAUGACAGACACACGCACACACACACCAUGACAGACAGACACACACACAUGACAGACACACACACCAUGACACACAGACACACACACACAUAAACAGCUGUUCUGGCGGCCUAAUGGGAAGCUGUGCUGUGCUGUCUCUGCUCCCCCGCCCUCGUGCCCUACUAAAUGAGACCGGGGCCGGAAUAUGACAUCAUAUUCCGAUCCCGGUCUCAUUCAGUAGCGCGCUGGGUAGCAGAGACAGCACAGCACAGCUUCCCAUGCGGCCGCAAGAACAGCUCCUUCUGCGGCCGCCAGCACACCCAGAUGUCUGCCCGGCCCCAGGUGCCGACGGCCCACCGGGAAAUUUCCCGGUAUCCCGGUGGGCCAGUCCGGCCCUGCAUCCAAGCAGUCAAACACCAGCACAACAUACAAACACACUCUUGCAAUCUAACACAAAUAUUACAUACAAACGCACCCCUUCACUCAAACACAAAUACUUCACACAAAUGUACAUCCCCAUUUAAAGGUGAACAUUACAUUUAAACACACCGCUGCAAUCAAAUGCAAACAUUACAUAUAAACAGAUACAUUACAUACAAACACACCCCUGUAUUAAAACACUAAAACUAUAUACAAGCUUCAGACAUUAACACUAUACAUUACACUAUAGCACCAGUAAAUGCUGCAGCGCUGUACAGAUAUACAACCUAGACAUUUUGACUUGGGGUGCCUUGAAAUAAUAUUCAAAUAUUAAAAGUUUGGGAACCACUGACUUCUACCAUUGCAUUUAGUAAAUAAUAAUAGGCUGCUUUCACCUUUCUUUGUGUUUAGGUAAUCGUCAGUUUCUGCAUAAAACACAAAGGUUAUAAGUGGCAGAUUCCUCCUAUUCACCUCUGGCUGGCUUAUCACAACAGCAUAUAUAUAGAUAUCAGUAUUUUUUUUUUUUUUAUUGUUGCUCCUAGCUGUUGAAAGAAUGUUGUCGGAUGAUAAGAAUCAUGGGUUUGUGGCCUGGAUGGCAGCUGAGCAAGAUGUGCAGUAAGCGAACUCCUCAGCCCUACCCAAUACUAAACAGCUGAAGCAUCCCGAUCAUCCCUUAAGUAUGUUCCAAAAUUGCAGAACAAGUACCAUACACAAGUCUCAGGCGAACACACCUCAGUCUCAAUUGAUGGACAAAUUCCUGUCCACGCCAUCAGCGUUGGUUGGAUCCGCAGCCUCAGAAAAAACUGCACCAUCCUCCUGAAUUGGAGGCCUUGAAGAAAGCAGGCUCGUCUCAACAAGGCCACCAAAUACGAGCGACAAUGACCUCAUUCUUGGAAGCUAUUUGCGCAGACUUACGCACGAUCUUCUGAUCAAUGCUAACUAAGGAUUACUUAACUGCUAUGUUACUAGAAAUAAAGGACACCAUUAAUCAGAAACUGUCAGAUUUUCGUAGCGAUGUAACAGGGCUAGAUGCCCAUAUGGAAAACUUAGAAGAGACCUCAUAGUGGCAAGACAACAGGCAGACACAGCACUAACAAGACAAGGCCAGGUGCUCCUGGAACUUGAGAGACACCCGGAAGACAUCGAUAACAGGGUGUGGAGAGACCUUCCUGCUCAGAACAAAAUCAAACAAAUCACACAAAAUGUCCGGUAUGGUAUGGUUGUUCCAGCGGGCUGUAGUGGUAAUGGUGGUUGGAGGAACUCUUUAAAACCAGAAUUAUUCUGAAGGUUAAUAACAAACGAAAUGGACGAAAUAUGAAAUGACCUCAACUGCCUGUCUCAUCACUUUAUUAGAGUAGUGAUGACGCAUGUCAUCAAACUGUUAUGUUCAAAAUAAACAUUGAUAUUUAUGCAAUGUUACUUUACACAUGUUCAGAUCAAAUAUUUUAGCUAUAGUGUAUAUAGUAUUUGUUUUGUUACCUAUUUUUAGUAUGUUUUUUGGUGUAACAGUGCUAAAAGGGAUACUCUAGUAAUAUAUCUAUUGGGAUUAUUGGUAACCCCAGAAGUAAGUAAAUAAAUAGAUUUUCUUACCCUUUUUCUCCCAGCAUGCCGGUCUUGUCACCAUUGCCCUGCCUCUACUGGCUAAAAUCACCAAUCCUGAUGAUCUCAGCCAAUCCUUUGUUUCUCAAAGGGAAGCUUUGGGAGACUAAUGCACAUGCAUGGCCAAUCAGCAUCUCCUCAUAAAGAUGCAUUGGCUCAGUACAUCUCUAUAGGGAUUGUUUGAAGUCUAUGUGCAUAGCAUGGAGAUGAAUGCUGUUCCUGCAUUCUUCGCAAGACCUUGUCCAGGAAGUCUCUCUAGUGGAUGUACGAGUUAUUGCCUUAAGCAGCAAUAUAAACACUGUUUUUUCUCAGAAAAGGCAGUGUUUUCAUUGCAGUGACAGGCCCUUUAAUGGUAUGUUAUUUGCUUUUUAUUGAUUAACGACAAAUCCCUGUUACUUUCACACAUCAUCAUCGCAGGAGAGGUAGUUGAAAGAAGGACUGAAUAUUUUAAGGUCAUUUGUUAAUAGUUGUUAGAAUCGUG
Molecule: non-coding RNA, 6315 nt
Organism: Pelobates cultripes (western spadefoot toad)
Lineage: Eukaryota; Metazoa; Chordata; Amphibia; Anura; Pelobatidae
Source: the annotation of a GenBank genome assembly